AUUGAACGCUGGCGGCAGGCCUAACACAUGCAAGUCGAGCGGAUGAAGGGAGCUUGCUCCUGGAUUCAGCGGCGGACGGGUGAGUAAUGCCUAGGAAUCUGCCUGGUAGUGGGGGAUAACGUCCGGAAACGGGCGCUAAUACCGCAUACGUCCUGAGGGAGAAAGUGGGGGAUCUUCGGACCUCACGCUAUCAGAUGAGCCUAGGUCGGAUUAGCUAGUUGGUGGGGUAAAGGCCUACCAAGGCGACGAUCCGUAACUGGUCUGAGAGGAUGAUCAGUCACACUGGAACUGAGACACGGUCCAGACUCCUACGGGAGGCAGCAGUGGGGAAUCUUGGACAAUGGGCGAAAGCCUGAUCCAGCCAUGCCGCGUGUGUGAAGAAGGUCUUCGGAUUGUAAAGCACUUUAAGUUGGGAGGAAGGGCAGUAAGUUAAUACCUUGCUGUUUUGACGUUACCAACAGAAUAAGCACCGGCUAACUUCGUG
This 484-nucleotide ribosomal RNA is filed under the name uncultured bacterium. RNAcentral's name for it is "partial 16S ribosomal RNA". It matches the Rfam family "Bacterial small subunit ribosomal RNA", at positions 30 to 507 of the family's 1533-position model. The record is from RNAcentral.